AGAGUUUGAUCCUGGCUCAGGAUGAACGCUGGCGGCGUGCUUAACACAUGCAAGUCGAACGAUGAUCCCAGCUUGCUGGGGGAUUAGUGGCGAACGGGUGAGUAACACGUGAGUAACCUGCCCUUAACUCUGGGAUAAGCCUGGGAAACUGGGUCUAAUACCGGAUAUGACUCCUCAUCGCAUGGUGGGGGGUGGAAAGCUUUAUUGUGGUUUCGGAUGGACUCGCGGCCUAUCAGCUUGUUGGUGAGGUAAUGGCUCACCAAGGCGACGACGGGUAGCCGGCCUGAGAGGGUGACCGGCCACACUGGGACUGAGACACGGCCCAGACUCCUACGGGAGGCAGCAGUGGGGAAUAUUGCACAAUGGGCGAAAGCCUGAUGCAGCGACGCCGCGUGAGGGAUGACGGCCUUCGGGUUGUAAACCUCUUUCAGUAGGGAAGAAGCGAAAGUGACGGUACCUGCAGAAGAAGCGCCGGCUAACUACGUGCCAGCAGCCGCGGUAAUACGUAGGGCGCAAGCGUUAUCCGGAAUUAUUGGGCGUAAAGAGCUCGUAGGCGGUUUGUCGCGUCUGCCGUGAAAGUCCGGGGCUCAACUCCGGAUCUGCGGUGGGUACGGGCAGACUAGAGUGAUGUAGGGGAGACUGGAAUUCCUGGUGUAGCGGUGAAAUGCGCAGAUAUCAGGAGGAACACCGAUGGCGAAGGCAGGUCUCUGGGCAUUAACUGACGCUGAGGAGCGAAAGCAUGGGGAGCGAACAGGAUUAGAUACCCCGGUAGUCC
RNAcentral lists this ribosomal RNA (775 nucleotides) under uncultured Arthrobacter sp. RNAcentral's name for it is "bacterial SSU rRNA". It matches the Rfam family "Bacterial small subunit ribosomal RNA", at positions 8 to 796 of the family's 1533-position model. Lineage: Bacteria; Bacillati; Actinomycetota; Actinomycetes; Micrococcales; Micrococcaceae. The record is from RNAcentral.